RNAcentral lists this small RNA (452 nucleotides) under Pan troglodytes (chimpanzee). RNAcentral's name for it is "processed transcript". Lineage: Eukaryota; Metazoa; Chordata; Mammalia; Primates; Hominidae. The record is from RNAcentral.
GAGUCCGGCCAUGGUAGCCCUCUCCAACAAGCUGAAGCUGAAGCGACAGCUGGAGUAUGAAGAGCAAGCCUUCCAGGACCUCAGCGGGGGGGACCCACCUGGUGGCAGCACCUCACAUUUGAUGUGGAAACGGAUGAAGAACCUCAGGGGUGGGAGCUGCCCUUUGAUGCCGGACAAGCCACUGAGCGCAAAUGUCCCCAAUGAUAAGUUCACCCAAAACCCCAUGAGGGGCCUGGGCCAUCCCCUGAGACAUCUGCCGCUGCCACAGCCUCCAUCUGCCAUCAGUCCCGGGGAGAACAGCAAGAGCAGGUUCCCCCCACAGUGCUACACCACCCAGUACCAGGACUACAGCCUGUCGUCAGCCCACAAGGUGUCAGGCCUUUAAGUUAUGGUACCAACCCUUCUUUCAGGCAUGGCAAGCCGGCUGCUCGGGCCCUCAUUUGAGUCCUACC